RNAcentral lists this long non-coding RNA (485 nucleotides) under Pongo abelii (Sumatran orangutan). RNAcentral describes it as "lincRNA". Lineage: Eukaryota; Metazoa; Chordata; Mammalia; Primates; Hominidae. The record is from RNAcentral.
GAUUACAGGCGCCCACCACCACGCCCAGCUAAUUUUUUGUAUUUUUAGUAGAGACGGGGUUUCACCGUGGUCUCGAUCUCCUGACCUCGUGAUCCGCCUGCCUCGGCCUCCCAAAGUGCUGGGAUUACAAGCUUGAGCCACCGCACCGGGCCCUGAGAUGUCUCCAAGUGGUGGUGAGACAUCAUCAAAUCCUAAGAAACAAUAUACUUGAAGAUUUUUCACUCACUGCAUCAAAGUAAUCGUGGAAGCAAGUGAUGAUACUGUGGUGUCCUAAAGCAAAGCAUCCUGGAUCACUGUGCCGGCAGGUGGAGAACACUGCCCUGAAAAUCUGCCUGGACUCCUAGUCCAUUAUGCGUGAAAAUCACUCUUGUUGUGCGAAAUUACAUAUAUUCUGAAAUUAUUACUGCAGCAAAACUAACCUCUGCUCACUGGUAGAUAAAGAAGAUGCCCUUGGUUGCUUAGCAUCUGCACUGAGGUUUUUUUAA